GGGUCAGUAGGUUGGUCGUGCCACCGGUACGUACUGGUCUCACUGAUUCCUCCUUCCUGAAGAACUGUAAUGCCAUUAAUUUGGUGUUGCGGGGAAACAGGACUGUUACUUUGAAAAAAUUAGAGUGUUUAAAGCAAGCUAACGCUUGAAUACACUAGCAUGGAAUAAUGAAAUAGGACGAUCGAUCCUAUUUUGUUGGUUUCUAGGAUUGACGUA
Molecule: ribosomal RNA, 216 nt
Filed under: Glomeromycotina sp.
Lineage: Eukaryota; Fungi; Glomeromycota
Description: partial small subunit ribosomal RNA
Rfam family: Eukaryotic small subunit ribosomal RNA (bases 40-216)
Source: RNAcentral